RNAcentral lists this microRNA (22 nucleotides) under Ovis aries (sheep). RNAcentral's name for it is "miRNA 32-i". The record is from RNAcentral. Lineage: Eukaryota; Metazoa; Chordata; Mammalia; Artiodactyla; Bovidae.
UUGCUCCCUCCACACUUCCAGA